RNAcentral lists this ribosomal RNA (253 nucleotides) under uncultured bacterium. Its description in RNAcentral is "partial 16S ribosomal RNA". It matches the Rfam family "Bacterial small subunit ribosomal RNA", at positions 524 to 776 of the family's 1533-position model. The record is from RNAcentral.
UACGUAGGGGGCGAGCGUUGUCCGGAUUUAUUGGGCGUAAAGAGCGUGUAGGCGGUUCGGUAAGUCUGUCGUGAAAUCCUGAGGCUCAACCUCGGGCGUGCGAUGGAUACUGCCGGGCUAGAGGGUGGUAGAGGCGAGUGGAAUUCCCGGUGUAGCGGUGAAAUGCGCAGAUAUCGGGAGGAACACCUGUAGCGAAGGCGGCUCGCUGGGCCACACCUGACGCUGAGACGCGAAAGCUAGGGGAGCGAACAGG